Molecule: RNA transcript, 1435 nt
Organism: Nannospalax galili (Upper Galilee mountains blind mole rat)
Lineage: Eukaryota; Metazoa; Chordata; Mammalia; Rodentia; Spalacidae
Gene: Lsm10
Gene name: LSM10, U7 small nuclear RNA associated
Exons: 4
Source: RefSeq, a predicted model, not a curated record
AAAGGGAUUGUUGCUCAGUUAGUAGACUGCUUGUCUAGCAUGUAGAAAAAGCUCUACAUUUGACCCCAGUGUGGUGUCUCAUAUCUGUAAUCCCAGUACUCAGAAGAUGGAGGCAGGAGCAUCACAAGUUCAGUGUCAUCUUCUGCUACACAAUGAGUUUCAGGUCAACCAGGGUUACAAGAGACCUCUGAAAAACAAAAAAUCUUGCAACAAUUCUGAGAUGGAUAUUCUUUUGUUUCCCUAAUGAGAACAUUGAAGCUAAGGGAAAAUAGGCUUUUUCAAAUGUAAAUUAGGGGCUCCAGGAGCUGGCUCACUCAGGAAAGUGCUCGCUGAGUAAACUUAAGGACCUGAGUUUGGAUCGCCAGUACCCACAUAGAAAAAGUUCAGUGCAGGGUCAGACAGAUGGUUCAAAAGGGUUAAGGCACUCAGUGCCGAGACUGUCCAUUUGAGUUCUAUUCCUGCCACUCACAUGGUGGAAGGAGUUGUCCUCUGGCCUCCACACCUGCACCCUGGCAUGCUUCCCCUGACCUCUGUAGACACACACACAAAUGCAAUAUUUUUUUUUUUUUUUACAGAAAGUAAACGGCCUUUCAUAGCCUAUUGUACUCCUACUACUAGAUGAGGAAUGGGGAGCCCAGACACUCUCUCCGUAGCAGCACUAGGCUCAGCAGGCCAUCAAGGGACACCGCUCCAAGCCCAGGACCUGAGAAGGUGCCCUACCAGGGAUGACCGGUCUCGAGUACCAGCCAAUCACUGCAGGAGGAAGACGGGGGCGGAGCCGGCGACGCGCAGCCUUCUGGGGCUUGUAGUCUGCGGCUGUGAUGCGGCCUCGACGCGCUGGGACCCCUGCGUCUGUGGCAGGCAGGCGACGCGAGAACGGAAGGCCGAAGGCAGCGUGUGUGAGCAGCCAGCCAAUGUGGAAGGAUGGCACUAAGCCACUCCGUGAAGGAGCGGACCAUCUCCGAGAACAGCCUGAUCAUCCUGUUGCAGGGCCUCCAGGGCCAGAUGAUGUGAACAUUACUGCCACCAUCGAGCAACAGAUACAGAUUAUCCAUCGUGUGCGAAACUUCGGUGGCAAGGGCCAAGGUCGACAGGAGUUUCCUUCCAAAAGGCGCAAGUGAGGUUGUCCCCUCAGCAAACCUGCAGCACCAACUCAGGGUUCUCCGGUGUUCUGAGCCAACUCUCUGCCAUCCCUCCCUCCCAGGGACCUGGUAUCUGACAAAUGCCACCUGCCUUUCUUAGGCUUCCACCUCCCAGACUCACCCUGGGACCCAGAAUCCUGUCUGUCUACCUGUGGCCUUGGGGUAGGUGACAGUCUUCCUUUUGAUCAUUUUCAUCUGGAAUUGCCAUUUACUGAUUGAGGACGUCUGUCAAGGAGUAAUCAACCCUGCCAGUGAGAUUAUUAAAUCUGUUUGGAGUGAAUCAUCCCUAAUUC